GCAUCGGUGGUUCAGUGGUAGAAAUCUUGCCUUCCACACGGGCGGCCCGAGUUCCAUUCCCGGCCAAUGCA
This is a non-coding RNA of Heligmosomoides polygyrus, 71 nucleotides long. NCBI's taxonomy places the organism in Eukaryota, Metazoa, Nematoda, Chromadorea, Rhabditida, Heligmosomidae. The record is from Rfam.